CUACGGGAGGCUGCAGUGAGGAAUAUUGCACAAUGGGGGGAACCCUGAUGCAGCAACGCCGCGUGGAGGAUGACGCAUUUCGGUGUGUAAACUCCUUUUAUAUGUCAAGAAAAUGACGGUAGCAUAUGAAUAAGCACCGGCUAACCCCGUGCCAGCAGCCGCGGUAAUACGGAGGGUGCAAGCGUUACUCGGAAUCACUGGGCGUAAAGCACGCGUAGGCGGGUUGGAAAGUCAGGUGUGAAAUCCUACAGCUUAACUGUAGAACUGCACUUGAAACUUCUAAUCUAGAGUAUGGGAGGGGGAGAUGGAAUUAGUGGUGUAGGGGUAACAUCCGUAGAUAUCACUAGGAAUACCUAAAGCGAAGGCGAUCUCCUGGAACAUUACUGACGCUAAGGCGUGAAAGCGUGGGGAGCAAACAGGAUUAGAUACCCCUGUAGUC
Molecule: ribosomal RNA, 439 nt
Filed under: uncultured bacterium
Lineage: Bacteria
Description: partial 16S ribosomal RNA
Rfam family: Bacterial small subunit ribosomal RNA
Source: RNAcentral